Chionomys nivalis (European snow vole) is the source of this 483-nucleotide non-coding RNA. The record is from the annotation of a RefSeq genome assembly. NCBI's taxonomy places the organism in Eukaryota, Metazoa, Chordata, Mammalia, Rodentia, Cricetidae.
AUGGAGUCACAGACCCAGGUUCUCAUGCUACUGCUCCUCUGGGUGUCUGGUGCCUGUGCAGAUAUCAUCAUGACCCAACCAUCUUCAAUGGCUGUGAGAGCAGGAGAGAAGGUCACCAUCAGCUGCAAGUCCAGUCAGAGUCUUUUUAACAGCGAAAACCAGAAAAACUACUUGACCUGGUACCAGCAGAAGCCAGGGCAGGCUCCUAAAAUGCUAAUCGACUAUGCAUCUACUAGGGAAACUGGGGUCCCUGAUCGCUUCAUAGGCAGUGGAUCUGGGACAGAUUUCACUCUAACCAUCAGCAGUGUUCAGGCUGAAGAUCUGGCAGUUUACUACUGUAUGCAAUUUUCUGAAUUUCCUCGCACAGUGCUUCAGCGUCCAACAAAAACUUCUGAGAGUCUCAGCAGCUGCCUGCACCACAGGCUGUCCUGCACAUGCACACUUCUCCCUUCUGCCUGGGAGACAGUGUGCCUGAAACUCUGA